GCGCACCAGUCGAGAAAACUUCACAAUGUGCGAAAGCACGAUGAGGGAAUCCCAAGUGCUUGCACGUAAGUGUAAGCUGUUUCUCUGUCUAAAACGCAGAGAGAGUAAGGGCCGGGUAAGACGGGUGCCAGCCGCCGCGGUAAUACCUGCAGCUCGAGUGGUGACCGUUAUUAUUGGGCCUAAAACGUCCGUAGCCGGUUUAAUAAAUGCCUGGGUAAAUCGGACCGCUUAACGGUUCGAAUUCCGGGUAGACUGUUAAACUUGAGACCGGGAGAAGUUAGAGGUACUCCUGGGGUAGAGGUGAAAUUCUGUAAUCCUAGGGGGACCACCAGUGGCGAAGGCGUCUAACUAGAACGGGUCUGACGGUGAGGGACGAAGCCCUGGGGCGCAAACGGGAUUAGAUACCCGCGUAGU
RNAcentral lists this ribosomal RNA (414 nucleotides) under uncultured microorganism. Its description in RNAcentral is "bacterial SSU rRNA". It matches the Rfam family "Archaeal small subunit ribosomal RNA", at positions 330 to 745 of the family's 1478-position model. The record is from RNAcentral.